GAUUCUGGCUCAGGAUGAACGCUAGCUACAGGCUUAACACAUGCAAGUCGAGGGGCAUCAUGGAGUUUGCUUGCAAACUCUGGAUGGCGACCGGCGCACGGGUGAGUAACGCGUAUCCGAACCUUCCCUAUAGUAGAGGAUAGCCCGGCGAAAGUCGGAUUAAUACUCUAUGGUUUUCCCGUUGCAGACAUCUAAGAUGGAACAAAGGCUUGCCGCUAUAGGAUGGGGGAUGCGUCUGAUUAGGUAGUCGGCGGGGUAACGGCCCACCGAGCCAUCGAUCAGUAGGGGUUCUGAGAGGAAGGUCCCCCCACAUUGGAACUGAGACACGGUCCAAACUCCUACGGGAGGCAGGCAGUGAGGAAUAUUGGUCAAUGGGCGAGAGCCUGAACCAGCCAAGUAGCGUGCAGGACGACGGCCCUAUGGGUUGUAAACUGCUUUUAUGCGGGGAUAAAGUUCACUACGUGUAGUGUUUUGUAGGUACCGCAUGAAUAAGGACCGGCUAAUUCCGUGCCAGCAGCGGC
Molecule: ribosomal RNA, 521 nt
Filed under: uncultured bacterium
Lineage: Bacteria
Description: bacterial SSU rRNA
Rfam family: Bacterial small subunit ribosomal RNA
Source: RNAcentral